This 450-nucleotide ribosomal RNA is filed under the name uncultured Glomeromycotina. RNAcentral's name for it is "SSU rRNA". It matches the Rfam family "Eukaryotic small subunit ribosomal RNA", at positions 569 to 1025 of the family's 1831-position model. Lineage: Eukaryota; Fungi; Glomeromycota. The record is from RNAcentral.
AGCAGCCGCGGUAAUUCCAGCUCCAAUAGCGUAUAUUAAAGUUGUUGCAGUUAAAAAGCUCGUAGUUGAAUUUCGGGAUCAAGGAAUCGGUCAUGCCUUGGUAUGUACUGGUUUUAUUGGUUCUCACCUUCUAAAGAACCAUAAUGUCAUUUAUUUGAUGUUAUGGGGAAUUAGGACUGUUACCUUGAAAAAUUAGAGUGUUUAAAGCAAGCUUACGCUUGAAUACAUUAGCAUGGAAUAAUGAAAUAGGACAUCAGAUUCUAUUUUGUUGGUUUCUAGGAUCGAUGUAAUGAUUAAUAGGGAUAGUUGGGGGCAUUAGUAUUCAAUUGUCAGAGGUGAAAUUCUUGGAUUUAUUGAAGACUAACUACUGCGAAAGCAUUUGCCAAGGAUGUUUUCAUUAAUCAAGAGCGAAAGUUAGGGGAUCGAAGACGAUCAGAUACCGUCGUAGUC